AAAGUCCCCCUGUGGUGUAAAUCCAGCGUUUAAUGUUGUUUAUGUGUCUAUGUGGUGUUUUUAAUAUGCUUUAAGACACACAUGUGUAAGUUCAUAAGUCGACAGCAUUGCUGAGUAUUUCCUGCUUAAAACUGCAGUGAACCAAAGACAGUCUCAAAAACACGGAGGCGGGGCUCAUUUGCAUAUUCAUAGAACCACGCAUACUAAAUGAGGCAAGGGUGUCGAGUUACAUUCAAGAUA
Rhinichthys klamathensis goyatoka is the source of this 240-nucleotide long non-coding RNA. RefSeq lists it as uncharacterized. The transcript has 2 exons. NCBI's taxonomy places the organism in Eukaryota, Metazoa, Chordata, Actinopteri, Cypriniformes, Leuciscidae. The record is from RefSeq and is a predicted model, not a curated record.